GAUGAACGCUGGCGGCGUGCCUAAUACAUGCAAGUCGAGCGAACAGACGAGAGUGCUUGCACUCUCUGACGUUAGCGGCGGACGGGUGAGUAACACGUGGGUAACCUACCUAUAAGACUGGGAUAACUUCGGGAAACCGGAGCUAAUACCGGAUAAUAUUUAGCUUCGCAUGAAGCAAUAGUGAAAGACGGUUCUGCUGUCACUUAUAGAUGGACCCGCGGUGUAUUAGCUAGUUGGUGAGGUAACGGCUCACCAAGGCAACGAUACAUAGCCGACCUGAGAGGGUGAUCGGCCACACUGGGACUGAGACACGGCCCAGACUCCUACGGGAGGCAGCAGUAGGGAAUCUUCCGCAAUGGACGGAAGUCUGACGGAGCAAUGCCGCGUGAGUGAAGAAGGUUUUCGGAUCGUAAAACUCUGUUGUAAGGGAAGAACAAGUACGUUAGUAACUGAACGUACCUUGACGGUACCUUACCAGAAGGCCACGGCUAACUACGUG
Molecule: ribosomal RNA, 499 nt
Filed under: uncultured bacterium
Lineage: Bacteria
Description: partial 16S ribosomal RNA
Rfam family: Bacterial small subunit ribosomal RNA
Source: RNAcentral